This is a long non-coding RNA of Suricata suricatta (meerkat), 463 nucleotides long. RefSeq lists it as uncharacterized. The transcript has 2 exons. Lineage: Eukaryota; Metazoa; Chordata; Mammalia; Carnivora; Herpestidae. The record is from RefSeq and is a predicted model, not a curated record.
ACCAGACUCUCAGAGAAGCAGAAGACCGGCUGGGGACAGGCACAAGCCAAGUUACGCGAAGUGACUAACUCGUGACGGCCUCGGGCACUGGACGCCGGCCACGUCGCCUCCUCUUUCGGGUCCGACGCUCCUGCGCGCAGGCCGGCCCGGAGCGGCUCGGCCCUCGGCCCCGGACCACCGGCCGGCCUGACCCUCGCCUAACAGUGAAACAGAGCCCCGGCCUCAUGUUCCAGAUACUGUGUGGGCAGCUCCUGCUGUGUGGACCGGCUGAGCAGCUUCAUGAGGAAGCGCACAGACACCAAACUCAACCGACCGGGUUCCGAAUCCAGUUCCGCCAUUUAUUAUUCUGUGCGGGGAAAGUUACUUCACUUCUCUGUUUUAGUUUUUGUAUCUGCAAAAUGAAGGCAUGUAAUUACAGCCACCAUAAGUUUCCUAUGAGGAUUAAAGAAGUAUUUCAUCAGUA